This 477-nucleotide ribosomal RNA is filed under the name uncultured bacterium. RNAcentral's name for it is "partial 16S ribosomal RNA". It matches the Rfam family "Bacterial small subunit ribosomal RNA", at positions 28 to 523 of the family's 1533-position model. The record is from RNAcentral.
GAUGAACGCUGACAGAAUGCUUAACACAUGCAAGUCUACUUGAUUCUACUUCGGUAGUUGAUGGUGGCGGACGGGUGAGUAACGCGUAAAGAAUCUGCCCUUUAGUUUGGGAUAACCUUUGGAAACGAAGGCUAAUACCGGAUAUUAUGGAGACGUCGCAUGACGACUCCAUGAAAGCUAUAUGCGCUAGAGGAGGACUUUGCGUCCCAUUAGUUAGCUGGUGAGGUAAUGGCUCACCAAGACCGCGAUGGGUAGCCGGCCUGAGAGGGUGAUCGGCCACAAGGGAACUGAGACACGGUCCUUACUCCUACGGGAGGCAGCAGUGGGGAAUAUUGGACAAUGGCCACAAGCCUGAUCCAGCAAUUCUGUGUGCGCGAUGAAGGUCUUCGGAUUGUAAAGUGCUUUCAGUAGGGAAGAAAAAAAUGACGGUACCUACAGAAGAAGCGACGGCUAAAUAUGUGCCAGCCGCCGCCGUAA